This 253-nucleotide ribosomal RNA is filed under the name uncultured bacterium. Its description in RNAcentral is "partial 16S ribosomal RNA". It matches the Rfam family "Bacterial small subunit ribosomal RNA", at positions 524 to 776 of the family's 1533-position model. The record is from RNAcentral.
UACGUAGGGACCGAGCGUUGUCCGGAAUCAUUGGGCGUAAAGAGCGUGUAGGCGGCUUGCUAAGUCUUGCGUGAAAUCUCGGGGCUCAACCCCGAGCGGUCGUGGGAAACUGGCAGGCUAGAGUGCGGGAGAGGAGAAUGGAAUUCCUGGUGUAGCGGUGAAAUGCGCAGAUAUCAGGAAGAACACCCGUGGCGAAGGCGGCUCUCUGGGACGGUGCUGACGCUGAGACGCGAAAGCGUGGGGAGCGAACAGG